UACAGAGGUCCCUAGCGUUGUUCGGAUUUACUGGGCGUAAAGGGCGCGUAGGCGUCAAGGCGUGUCAAGUGUGAAAUCUCCGGGCUCAACCCGGAAAGUGCGCUUGAAACUGCCUUGCUUGGAGUACGGAAGAGGGAAUCGGAAUAUAGGGUGUAGCGGUGAAAUGCGUUGAUAUCCUAUAGAACACCGGGGGCGAAGGCGGAUUCCUAGUACGUUACUGACGCUGAGGCGCGAAAGUCGGGGGAGCAGA
RNAcentral lists this ribosomal RNA (250 nucleotides) under uncultured prokaryote. RNAcentral's name for it is "partial 16S ribosomal RNA". It matches the Rfam family "Bacterial small subunit ribosomal RNA", at positions 524 to 772 of the family's 1533-position model. The record is from RNAcentral.